RNAcentral lists this ribosomal RNA (1194 nucleotides) under Triticum aestivum (bread wheat). RNAcentral's name for it is "partial small subunit ribosomal RNA". The record is from RNAcentral. Lineage: Eukaryota; Viridiplantae; Streptophyta; Magnoliopsida; Poales; Poaceae.
AUGCGCGCCGCUCUCCCUACUUCCGCAGUGAGCGUGUCCCACCGCGACGCGCUCCAGGCCUGUGGCCAGCAUGCCCGCUUAUGGCUCGCCCGCGCCGAUGAGCCGAUCCACCCUGGCUCCUCUUUUACUUAUGGUGCGGUGAGGGUUAAGCUGGACAGGAUAAUGGCAUCAGACUACUACAAACAGCUGCAAUUGGUGGGAGCUAUGGAGCUGAAGUGCACAAUACUCCUAGCAUUAUUAUUAUCUGCUGCUGCUGUUGCUGUUGCUGCCGAUUCAGUAGUAAUCAUGUACAUUGAGUGUUUAAGAAACAAUCCAGUGAAUGAUCGCCACCUAACAACAACAAAAGGGCAACCUGGUGCAUGUAGCUCCCGCUUGCGCAGGGUCCAGGGAAGGGUCCGACCACUUUGGGUCUAUAGUAUGCAACCUUUCCCUACAUUUCUUAUAACUCAUGUGGCUAGUGCACCGUAUGUGCCCCCAACUUACUUUUGUGUAAGGGCUGCCAUUAUGUUCCAAGGUGCUGAAGGUAAGAUCGGGAUGAGUGCUCAACCCAUCUGUACACAUGCUGCACUAUGCCCCCGUGCCGCUGCCAUCCUUAUCUUGCCUCUCCUGGAUCUGAGUCCCAACAGUGUCGUCUUGCUGUCCCUUCCCGGGGCGGGUCGACGAAUCAUCCCACACUGCGCGACGCACGGGGUGAGCAGCGAAGGAAGUCUGGGGUGGCGCCCGAGAAGAUUGGAGGCGGAUGGGGAGGUGGCGGAUGGUCGAAGAAGAAGACCGGCCGCGCUGCCGCACAUGGCAGCGGCGGCGGCGCAGUACUCGUACGCGAGGAUGAGAGCCCGUGCUCGUGCCUUGUGCCAUUUGUCACCACCAAAGAAGAUGUGUGACCUUUGCAAGCUGAUUUUGAGUCUCCCCCAGUGGAUGCCAACGGGUGUCAACCGAAGGUCUCAUUUUCGCAAGGGCGUCUACUCGGUGGUGAUUUCCUUGCUACGAUGCAUUUGGCUUGAGAGGAGCCUGCAUGUCUUCAAGCACACCUCCUUGCCCCCUUCGGCGGUAGUUGAUAGAGUAAUUGAUCAUUGCCAUGAGUGGCGGAUGGUAGGAAACAAUAGUUUAAGAAGAGUAGUACCAUAUGUCCCAUGUUGUAGACCGCUCGGGCUGCCACCCUUGUUGGCGUCAUGGGGCUACUCAUCUAAAUCGUAA